This 321-nucleotide long non-coding RNA is filed under the name Lathyrus oleraceus (garden pea). Its description in RNAcentral is "Pisum sativum (pea) long non-coding RNA (PSAT_LNC020790)". Lineage: Eukaryota; Viridiplantae; Streptophyta; Magnoliopsida; Fabales; Fabaceae. The record is from RNAcentral.
AAAAAUAAAACAAAAUAAAAAAAACAAAAUGAAAUAACUAAACUAAAUAAAAUAACAUAGAAAUAAAAAAAAAUGGCCAAGGUGCACUCCACAGGUUUGAACCUCUAACCUUGGGGUCAUGGGGGAUACUUUCCCCUCACCCACUGGGUCAAGGGCCUGGUUGUGAUUACAAAGCGCACUUGCAUGAAUCUAUUACUAUCUAUAAAGGGGAUAGGGGAUUUUGGAGUGGCUUAUUUUUCUUCCAAAUUUGCCCUUUAAAUAAUUUAUAUUUACUAAAAAACCACAACAAUAACUACCCACAACAAUAACUACCCACACUAA